This 420-nucleotide ribosomal RNA is filed under the name uncultured bacterium. Its description in RNAcentral is "partial 16S ribosomal RNA". It matches the Rfam family "Bacterial small subunit ribosomal RNA", at positions 360 to 773 of the family's 1533-position model. The record is from RNAcentral.
AAUCUUCCGCAAUGGACGCAAGUCUGACGGAGCACUGCCGCGUGAGUGACGAAAGUUUUCGGAUCGUAAAACUCUGUUGUUAGGGAAGAACACGUACCAGCUAACUACUGGUACCUUGACGGUCCCUCACCAGAACGCCACGGCUAACUACGUGUCAGCAGCCGCGGUAAUACGUAGGUGGCAAGCUUUUUCCGGAAUUAUUGGGCGUAAAGCGCGCGCAGGCGGUCCCUUAAGUCUGAUGUGAAAGCCCACGGCUCAACCGUGGAGGGUCAUGGGAAACUGGGGGACUUGAGUGCAGAAGAGGAAAGUGGAAUUCCAUGUGUAGCGGUGAAAUGCGUAGAGAUGUGGAGGAACACCAGUGGCGAAGGCGACUUUCUGGUCUGUAACUGACGCUCAGGCGCGAAAGCGUGGGGAGCAAAC